This 89-nucleotide transfer RNA is filed under the name Clostridium porci. Its description in RNAcentral is "Clostridium sp. WCA-389-WT-23D1 tRNA-Ser". It matches the Rfam family "tRNA". From Rfam's summary of the family: Transfer RNA (tRNA) molecules are approximately 80 nucleotides in length. Their secondary structure includes four short double-helical elements and three loops (D, anti-codon, and T loops). The record is from RNAcentral. Lineage: Bacteria; Bacillati; Bacillota; Clostridia; Eubacteriales; Clostridiaceae.
GGAGAUGUACCCAAGAGGCUGUAAGGGAGCGGUUUCGAAAACCGCCAGGCUGGAAGACCGGCACCUGGGUUCGAAUCCCAGCGUCUCCG